GGUGAACGCUGGCGGCGUGCCUAACACAUGCAAGUCGAGCGGUGCAGUUUGAAGCUUCGGUGGAAAGCUGCAUAGCGGCGGACGGGUGAGGAAAACGUAGGAACGUGCCCCUUGGAGUUGGAUAGCCACGGGAAACUGUGGGUAAACCGACAUAGACUCGAGAGAGUAAAGGCCGAAAGGCGCCAAGGGAGCGGCCUGCGGCCCAUCAGGUAGUUGGUAGUGUAAAGGACUACCAAGCCGACGACGGGUAGCCGGUCUGAGAGGAUGGCCGGCCACAAGGGCACUGAGAGACGGGCCCUACUCCUACGGGAGGCAGCAGUGGGGGAUUUUGGACAAUGGGCGAAAGCCUGAUGCAGCAACGCCGCGUGAGCGAUGAAGGCCUUCGGUCGUAAAGCUCUGUCCUCAGGAAGAUAAUGACGGUACUUGAGGAGGAAGCCCGGCUAACUACGUGCCAGCAGCCGCGGUAACAUACUCGUA
This 477-nucleotide ribosomal RNA is filed under the name uncultured bacterium. RNAcentral's name for it is "bacterial SSU rRNA". It matches the Rfam family "Bacterial small subunit ribosomal RNA", at positions 28 to 529 of the family's 1533-position model. The record is from RNAcentral.